CCUACGGGAGGCAGCAGUAGGGAAUCUUCCACAAUGGACGAAAGUCUGAUGGAGCAACGCCGCGUGAGCGAUGAAGGCCUUCGGGUCGUAAAGCUCUGUUGUUAGGGAAGAACAAGUACCGGAGUAACUGCCGGUACCUUGACGGUACCUAACCAGAAAGCCACGGCUAACUACGUGCCAGCAGCCGCGGUAAUACGUAGGUGGCAAGCGUUGUCCGGAAUUAUUGGGCGUAAAGCGCGCGCAGGCGGUCCUUUAAGUCUGAUGUGAAAGCCCACGGCUCAACCGUGGAGGGUCAUUGGAAACUGGGAGACUUGAGUGCAGAAGAGGAAAGUGGAAUUCCAUGUGUAGCGGUGAAAUGCGUAGAGAUAUGGAGGAACACCAGUGGCGAAGGCGACUUUCUGGUCUGUAACUGACACUGAGGCGCGAAAGCGUGGGGAGCAAACAGGAUUAGAUACCCUGGUAGUCCACGCCGUAAACGAUGAGUGCUAAGUGUUAGAGGGUUUCCGCCCUUUAGUGCUGAAGUUAACGCAUUAAGCACUCCGCCUGGGGAGUACGGCCGCAAGGCUGAAACUCAAAGGAAUUGACGG
This 587-nucleotide ribosomal RNA is filed under the name uncultured bacterium. RNAcentral's name for it is "bacterial SSU rRNA". It matches the Rfam family "Bacterial small subunit ribosomal RNA", at positions 338 to 916 of the family's 1533-position model. The record is from RNAcentral.